RNAcentral lists this unclassified non-coding RNA (334 nucleotides) under Hevea brasiliensis (rubber tree). Lineage: Eukaryota; Viridiplantae; Streptophyta; Magnoliopsida; Malpighiales; Euphorbiaceae. The record is from RNAcentral.
GCCACUGUAAUUUCCACGGGAAAAAAAUGUCUACCUGUCCAAUGGCCAUACUUAGGAUUUAAUCCUUCAAUUUCUAAGAUUAUUAGUGUUGCAUGUGAGUCAGAAGCAUUUUAUUUGUAUAACACCAUCUUAUCGCCUUUUAUCCAAAGUGGUUGCUGCUUAAGGGUGCCCAUGGCUUUUAUUUGAGAAGUGUGUAUGUGUAUGAAAAUGUACACAAACAGGCCCUUGUCCAGAAUAUGUGAAAUCAUUUGUUUCCCCUGCUUAAUUCUGUUGUCUUCAUAUGCCCCUCUUUUAUUUCCUCUUGAAUGUGCAGGAUGCAUGGGAGGAGGUUGAU